GUGAAUCAUCGAAUCUUUGAACGCAUCUUGCACUUUCUAGGUCUACUAGAGAGUAUACCUGUUUGAGUAUCAGAUAAUUCUAUAUCCAAACAAUGUGUUUGGGAAAUGAGAUUUUGAAUAUAUAUAUUUAUAUUCUGUCUUUAAAUGUAGAGAAUAGUUGACUAGUAGUUUUACUAUAUUUAUAUACGUAAACUCUAUAAAGUGUGGUAAGAAAUGUAUAUAAACAUUUGUUUUUAUACGCUAUAUUUCUCCCACUGAAUUUAAUAGACUUUUACUAUAUUGAUAGUAAAAUUAUUCUAG
RNAcentral lists this unclassified non-coding RNA (300 nucleotides) under uncultured fungus. RNAcentral's name for it is "sequence contains 5.8S rRNA gene, ITS2". The stretch from base 1 to 72 matches the Rfam family "5.8S ribosomal RNA", at positions 84 to 154 of the family's 154-position model. Lineage: Eukaryota; Fungi. The record is from RNAcentral.